GUAUCCUAACCGUGCGAAGGUAGCGUAAUCACUUGUCCUUUAAAUGAGGACUGGUAUGAACGGCUUCACGAAGGCUGCACUGUCUCCUUUUUCUAAUCAGUCAAACUAAUCUCCCCGUGAAGAAGCGGGGAUCAACCUAUAAGACGAGAAGACCCUAUGGAGCUUUAAACAAUUGAUUACACUUGCAUUUAAAUCUUUCCCUAUAUUUAACCAAGCACUUUGUUUCUAGUUUUAGGUUGGGGUGACCAUGGAGAAAAAUUUAUCCUCCAUGUUGAAAGAAAUUCCAUUUCUUAGCAAAAAGCUACAUCUUUAUGCAUCAACAAAUUGACCUUAAUUGACCCAAUAAUUUGAUCAACGAACCAAGUUACCCUAGGGAUAACAGCGCAAUCCACUUCAAGAGCUCUUAUCGACAAGUGGGUUUACGACCUCGAUGUUGGAUCAGGGUGUCCAAGUGGUGCAGUCGCUA
RNAcentral lists this ribosomal RNA (466 nucleotides) under Mannophryne oblitterata. Its description in RNAcentral is "partial 16S ribosomal RNA". It matches the Rfam family "Bacterial large subunit ribosomal RNA", at positions 1936 to 2564 of the family's 2925-position model. The record is from RNAcentral. Lineage: Eukaryota; Metazoa; Chordata; Amphibia; Anura; Aromobatidae.